Molecule: ribosomal RNA, 490 nt
Filed under: uncultured bacterium
Lineage: Bacteria
Description: partial 16S ribosomal RNA
Rfam family: Bacterial small subunit ribosomal RNA
Source: RNAcentral
AUUGAACGCUGGCGGCAUGCUUUACACAUGCAAGUCGAACGGCAGCGGGGUAGUGCUUGCACUACUGCCGGCGAGUGGCGAACGGGUGAGUAAUAUAUCGGAACGUACCGAGUAAUGGGGGAUAACCAAUCGAAAGAUUGGCUAAUACCGCAUACGUCCUGAGGGAGAAAGCGGGGGAUCGCAAGACCUCGCGUUAUUCGAGCGGCCGAUAACUGAUUAGCUAGUUGGUGGGGUAAAGGCCUACCAAGGCGACGAUCAGUAGCGGGUCUGAGAGGACGAUCCGCCACACUGGGACUGAGACACGGCCCAGACUCCUACGGGAGGCAGCAGCGGGGAAUUUUGGACAAUGGGGGCAACCCUGAUCCAGCCAUGCCGCGUGUAUGAAGAAGGCCUUCGGGUUGUAAAGUACUUUUGUUAGGGAAGAAAAGGGAAGUGCUAAUACCACUUUUUGCUGACGGUACCUAAAGAAUAAGCACCGGCUAACUACGUG